AUUUAACUUUUAUUUUUUAUUUAAAAUAAAAUAAUAUAAUUUAGAGUUACAGUAAAAAUACUUUAAUAUAUUAAAAAGACGAUAAGACCCUAAAAGCUUAAUUUUAAUAAUAAUAAUUUAAUCAAUAAAAAUAUUAUAUAAAUUUUUUACUGGGGUAGUAAUUAAAUUUAUUUUUUUUUUUUUUACAUUUAGUUUAUAUAUUCCUUUAUAUAAAGAUAAAAGAUAAGUUACUUUAGGGAUAACAGCGUUAUAUUAUUAAAAAGAUCAUAUUUAUAAUAAUGUUUACGACCUCGAUGUUGAAUUAAUAUAAACUUUAUAAAGCAACAUUU
This 329-nucleotide ribosomal RNA is filed under the name Exampithoe sp. 'otway'. Its description in RNAcentral is "partial large subunit ribosomal RNA". The record is from RNAcentral. Lineage: Eukaryota; Metazoa; Arthropoda; Malacostraca; Amphipoda; Ampithoidae.